RNAcentral lists this ribosomal RNA (394 nucleotides) under uncultured bacterium. Its description in RNAcentral is "bacterial SSU rRNA". It matches the Rfam family "Bacterial small subunit ribosomal RNA", at positions 30 to 426 of the family's 1533-position model. The record is from RNAcentral.
AUUGAACGCUGGCGGCAUGCCUUACACAUGCAAGUCGAACGGCAGCGGGCCUUCGGGUGCCGGCGAGUGGCGAACGGGUGAGUAAUGCAUCGGAACGUGCCAUUGAGUGGGGGAUAACGUAGCGAAAGUUGCGCUAAUACCGCAUAUUCUGUGAGCAGGAAAGCAGGGGGACCGCAAGGCCUUGCGCUCCUUUGAGCGGCCGAUGUCAGAUUAGCUAGUUGGUGGGGUAAAGGCCUACCAAGGCGACGAUCUGUAGCGGGUCUGAGAGGAUGAUCCGCCACACUGGAACUGAGACACGGUCCGGACUCCUACGGGAGGCAGCAGUGGGGAAUUUUGGACAAUGGGGGCAACCCUGAUCCAGCCAUGCCGCGUGAGUGAAGAAGGCCUCGGUUGU